RNAcentral lists this ribosomal RNA (486 nucleotides) under uncultured bacterium. RNAcentral's name for it is "partial 16S ribosomal RNA". It matches the Rfam family "Bacterial small subunit ribosomal RNA", at positions 28 to 523 of the family's 1533-position model. The record is from RNAcentral.
GAUGAACGCUAGCGGCAGGCCUAAUACAUGCAAGUCGAACGGUGUCUUCGGACAUAGUGGCGCACGGGUGCGUAACACGUAUGCAACCUACCUUACAUUGGGGGAUAGCCUUUCGAAAGGGAGAUUAAUACCGCAUAAGACAGUAGCUGGGCAUCCAGCAGCUGUUAAAGAUUUAUCGAUGUAAGCUGGGCAUGCGUCCAAUUAGCUAGUUGGUGAGGUAACGGCUCACCAAGGCAAUGAUUGGUAGGGGAACUGAGAGGUCAAUCCCCCACACUGGCACUGAGAUACGGACCAGACUCCUACGGGAGGCAGCAGUAGGGAAUAUUGGUCAAUGGACGCAGGUCUGAUCCAGCCAUGCCGCGUGAAGGAUGAAGGCCCUAUGGGUCGUAAACUUCUUUUAUUAGGGAAGAAAAAACGGGAUGCGUCCUGUACUGACGGUACUUAAUGAAUAAGGAUCGGCUAACUUCGUGCCAGCAGCCGCCGUAA